UUCCGGUUGAUCCUGCCGGACCCGACUGCUAUCAGAAUAGGACUAAGCCAUGCGAGUCAACGUAGUAAUACGUGGCAUACGGCUCAGUAACACGUAGUCAACAUGCCCAGAGGACGUGGAUAACCUCGGGAAACUGAGGAUAAACCGCGAUAGGUCAUAAUAUCUGGAAUGAUUUAUGGUUUAAAUCUAUAUGGCCUCUGGAUUGGACUGCGGCCGAUCAGGCUGUUGGUGAGGUAAUGGCCCACCAAACCUGAAACCGGUACGGGCUCUGAGAGGAGAAGCCCGGAGAUGGGCACUGAGACAAGGGCCCAGGCCCUAUGGGGCGCAGCAGGCGCGAAAACUCUGCAAUAAGCGAAAGCUUGACAGGGUUAUUCUGAGUGAUUUCCGCUAAGGAAAUCUUUUGGCACCUCUAAAAAUGGUGCAGAAUAAGGGGUGGGCAAGCUUGGUGUCAGCCGCCGCGGUAAUACCAGCACCCCGAGUGGUCGGGACGAUUAUUGGGCCUAAAGCAUCCGUAGCCGGUUCUACAAGUCUUCCGUUAAAUCCACCUGCUUAACAGAUGGGCUGCGGAGGAUACUAUAGAGCUAGGAGGCGGGAGAGGCAAGCGGUACUUAGUGGGUAGGGGUAAAAUCCGUUGAUCCAUUGAAGACCACCAGUGGCGAAGGCGGCUUGCCAGAACGCACUCGACGGUGAGGGAUGAAAGCUGGGGGAGCAAACCGGAUUAGAUACCCGGGUAGUCCCAGCUGUAAACGAUGCAGACUCGGUGAUGAAUAGGCUUCGUGCCUAUUCAGUGCCGCAGGGAAGCCGUUAAGUCUGCCGCCUGGGGAGUACGGUCGCAAGACUGAAACUUAAAGGAAUUGGCGGGGGAGCACCACAAGGGGUGAAGCCUGCGGUUCAAUUGGAUUCAACGCCGGG
RNAcentral lists this ribosomal RNA (912 nucleotides) under uncultured archaeon. RNAcentral's name for it is "bacterial SSU rRNA". It matches the Rfam family "Archaeal small subunit ribosomal RNA", at positions 1 to 922 of the family's 1478-position model. The record is from RNAcentral.